Molecule: long non-coding RNA, 3727 nt
Organism: Empidonax traillii (willow flycatcher)
Lineage: Eukaryota; Metazoa; Chordata; Aves; Passeriformes; Tyrannidae
Exons: 6
Source: RefSeq, a predicted model, not a curated record
CAGUGUUUGCUUAAAGAUAACAAAGAGACAGUUAUCACUCAAAGCCAGCCUGCAAAGCACAGAAGUACUGAAGUACAAGCUUUCAGCAAAUAAUGCUGCUCCAAGUGGAUAUUACUGGUAUGUGCCUUUCUACACCUUCUGAGCCAACACUCAGCACGCCAAGCACUAGGAUUACAGAUUCUAGCAGAGAUUUUGAGAAGUGAGGAGAUAAAAAGUCUUUUUCAGACUAAGGUGGUGCAGCCCUAGGGCUGUGGCUAGACAGGGGCUGUCUGCUGGUGUGAGUAGAGGGGGCUACACCCAGGCAUUAUGGGGACAGAGACUGGAUUUGUGGCCAUGGACAGCAGGAAAACAAGAGGCAAAGAGAGGCAGAUGCCAUGCCUCAACAACUGUUGAGGGGUCCAGGCUUGCUGUCAAAGGAUCUGCCAGUUCUGCACUGAAAUUUUGAGUGAAGUCUUGCUGGAUAAAGUAACUUAAAAUCAAUGGAAAUUCUGGUUUAAAGGCAGCAGAUGUAUGUUUUACUGAAAAUUAUUCAGAACCACAUGUUGGGCCCUACCAUCUGCUAAAUUUGGAUAUGAUGUCUGCAAAGCUGGUGUGGAAAUAACACAAAACGAAACUCUGCCUUCGGGAGAGAAACUACCAAUGCCUUUGUAGCUACAACUGUCUCCCACAGAAAAUUACCUUUCUUAUUUUGUGAAAUAUGUACCCUCUCCAUACAAAUGUAAGCUAAAGUUAAAUUUCAGCACUCAGAGCUCGAUUUUAUCUGAAAUCCCUGUUAAAAUGUCUCAGUACUUGAAUGGAAAAGAGCCUGAGGACUCUGGUCUAAUAAGACCUGCUUUGAGCAUGGAAUUGGACCAUGGACCUUCAUAGGUCCUUUUCAACCUGUGUGGCUGUAGAAUCAAAAUUAUUACAUCUGUGCGGAUGCAUGAACAUGGAAGUAACUUUUUUUGUCAAAUAUGGUAAGGAAAGAUGGAUUUGCCAGUCAGGAAUACAGACAGAGAAAACAGACAACAGAGUUUUACUAGAAAGGUUAUUUAUUUUGUAGAAAGUUUGCUUGUAAAUAACUAUUAAAAAAAAAAAAUUCAGCCUGCAUCCAGACAAAUUGCUGUUGAAAUACCCAGUCUGAAAAUUCACAGCUGGAAGGAAGGCUUUUCCCUUCUCUUAAAAUGCAGUGUCUUCUCACUAAUUCAUUGAUACCUACUGUAGUUAGAAAAUCCUCUUGUGCUUCUAAUCUAAUAGAAACCUAUAAUUUUAUGUCCUGUGUUCUGUCAGAAUAAUGCUUAUGUUGGACAUGUCUUGGAAACAAAUGUAGCUUUGGUCUAAUUUAAUAACUUGCCUUGGACAAUAAAGCCUUGAGUUCUGCUGCAGGCCCAUCAAGAAAGAAUCCUCUUGUGCAAGCAGCCGUUGCUAUGUUCAAAAAUAGUCUCCAAACUACUGGGAAUGAACCAACACCCAAGAAAAAUGACACUGUUUAAAAAUUAGUCACUAAGUCCAUUUUAAACUGAAUGAAACCAAAAUCCUAAGGCCACAAUUCAAAGAGCUAAUGCUAUGCCUUGAACUUAUAUAGCCUGUGAUACAGCAAGUCAGCUCCACUCUCCCCUGGUAGAAAAGAGAGGGAAAAGGCUUUUGUGUGUUUGAAACUGCCUUUUUAGCCUGAACUGCAGAACAAAAUCCAACAGGAAUUAAGAAUUCACAGUAACCUCCCAUUUUCUGUUCCAAGGGCGAUGUACACUUCUCUGACUUGUGGCACAGAAAAGAGGAACAAAAAUCAUUCUACAUGUGAUGGGUCAGAGGCAGCAGCAACAGAAGGAGUCCUUGCCUGAGAUGACCCACUGGCAGGGUGGGCACUGCCCAAGCACCAGUAACUCAGAAACAGCUCCGAGCAGGCUCAGUAAAAGCAGAGCCUCUGUUGUGAAGGUGAGUUGUGCACUUAGGAAAAUAAUUCCAGAAGGACAUAAAGAAUUUAUUAACUUGCUUCUUGCACAAAAGAGUUUUUUCUCCACUGGUUUAUCUGAAACUCUCACACUUGCAAGUUCAAGCCCUAGGCCCUCCGCAUAUUGUUUUGUCUCCACGUCAACUUAUCUCUAAUGACCUGAAAAUUCUCUUCUUGUUUAGAAGGGAUGCCUCACAUUAGUGUUUUCAAUUUUCAGCUCUGAGGCUAAGGGAAAUUAUUGACCUCCCCUGGACUUUUGGGAUGACAAAGUACUACUGUACAAACAAGGAAAAUAUCUUUGAAACAAAUGGAUGAAUCAUUUUCCCACAUCAAAACAUUUAUUAACUGUAUAUAGUUCAUUGGUUUCUUUUCUAAGACAUCUUUCUUUUCCCUCCUUCUUUUUUCUUUCCUUGACCCAUUUAUUGUACAUUGCUGUGAGAUCUUUUUUGCAAGAAUGAAUAUGAAUGGGCCCUCAUGAAAAAAACAGGGCACUGUUCUGGAUUUGUAUAGCACAAAGAUAUAAAAGAGUGAAGAGAAAAAGAGUGCCAGCAGUAAAACAUUCAGAGCUGAAGAUGCAGAAAUACGUUGCAUAUGCAGGCACUUAGUGAAAUAAAUACAUGACAAAGCUCAAAUCCUGUCAUCCUGACCCUGUGUAAAGCCUGAGAAGAGGUUUGCCCAUCUGCCUCGGUAUCCUCAGAGUUUUCAGCAGCUGGGAAUUUUACCUGUGCCAUUUUUCCACUGUCCUCUGGCAGGAGAGGUGGUUUGCCUUUGGAAUGACAUGGAAUCCACCAGCAGUUUUUACUUACCUCUGAUUUUCAAAGCUGUCUUGAAAAUAUCCCAGCUGAUUACCGCAAGAGCAAAGCAGUGCUCUGACGCCGUUCCUCUGCUAACCUGCACUAUGUGUUUGUGUUGUGUAACUGGUACCUGCUGGGUCCUGAUAGAUGAAGGUUUGGCAUUUUCUUUGGUUUCAUCUCUCAGGAGUUUUAUGUCUUUCACACCUAUAACCAGACCUGUUAAGGCAUAAAUCACCUGGGAGAGACCUGCAGGAAGAAAAUUCAAAAAAGAGCUCUUCCAUCACCAAUAUAAAAAACCCCAAAGAACUAAACUCAAUAAAAAAUAUUGUCUGUGGUUCACUCUAAACUUAGGACUGUGGUUUUAAAAACAGUUCAACCUAAUUCCAUGUAUAAGUGGAAUUUGAUGCAAAGCCUGAGGUGGGCUUUUCAUUAGGUAUACAUACUUUUUGCCUGUUUUCAAUCUGUAUGAGAUCUUUUGUCACCUGCAUGGUUUUAUAUUUAACUGUGCCCACAUACCUGGUACAAAGUACCUAUCCAAAUGCCUAACCACCAGGGCACACAAAGUUAAUGGGUCACUGUUAGAGUGGCCCCUUGAUGUGCUGUGCUAUUGGUUCCUGUCCUUGCAAACAGAUAACAGGUGUUCUGCUUCCUGCCAGGAGCAGCGAAUGAGCCACUCAGGCUGAGAUGGGAAUUACAGCUCCAGAAUGGCCAAGGAUCCUGAACAACAGAUGCACCUGAUCUAAUCUUUCCUUUGUCUCGGUGCUGGUAGGAAGGCAAGGUUGGUGCUUUCAAACCCUCUUCUCAUUGCCUGGAAAGACUGGUGAAAAAACUACCUGUGCUCCAGAAGAUGAUUAAGAGACCGGAGCAUCUCUCUUAUGAGGAAAGGCUGAGGGAGCUGGGCCUGCUCAGUGUUGAGAAGAGAUGGCUGAGAGGGCACCACAUUAACGUCUGUCAGUGUCUGCAGGGAGGGGUCAGAAGACGGACCGGGCUCCUCUCAGGGGUG